This is a non-coding RNA of Podarcis lilfordi (Lilford's wall lizard), 1684 nucleotides long. Lineage: Eukaryota; Metazoa; Chordata; Lepidosauria; Squamata; Lacertidae. The record is from the annotation of a GenBank genome assembly.
UAUUGCAUGCUGUGCCGUGCCCUUAGUAGAAUCCCACUAAGUGGAAUCUCCUCAAACAAUUGUCACGGAAUUGGCUCAUUCUUCCCUGCGCCUUCCAUGUGAGGGCUCCAGGAGUGUGCAGGACUUGCACUUUAAGGUAUACUUAGACUCACAUUUGUGUCAAUUAACGCCUACUUGAGUAGCGUAGGGAUAGCCGUCAUGUGACCCUAGUGACUAAAAUAGUAUUAGUGCUGCAAUCCUGAGCUGCUUUCCAAGGAAGUAGUUCAGUUAACGCAAGUAUUUCUGGCUGUGCAGAAGAAUGUCACCUCGCUCUCCUCUCCCCACACUGCCUCUCCCCUCAAUUCUUUUCUAGAUUUUCUCUCAACCCUCUGGAACAGUGGGGUGGACACAUGGGGAGAGUAGAGGAAGUUCUGUUGCACAAAUGGAAAUCCUUGGACUGAUGUAACCUGGGGCACACACUCUGUGGGGCUGGCCACCCCCCAAAUAUGUGGGAACAGAGCUAAGCCCCCUCAGUCUUGAGGGCCUGGGCCUCCCUGCGGGGGCCAAGUUGUCGGGCCUACCUAUGAUGGUUAGUCUACAUAUAGAGUUAGUCUACCUUUAGAGGUGUCUACCUAUGAUGGUGGCAGGCCUGCUCCUGAUGUGCGUGACAUCAUGCAUGUUGCAUUUGUGAAGUCACGCUCACACGAUGAGAUGAGACAAGCCUCCACAAUGUUGGGCAGAAUCUAGCCAUAUAACUAGCCCUGGUCUGAAGAGUUCUAUUGCUUGGAUUUUCUUCACUUGAACUCACUUGCUCAGUGAAUCAAUCAGCCAUUACAUCAGAGCGGCACUAGUUAGGUUCUAGUUCAACCACAGUCCUAUACUCACUUCCCGGGAAUAAGCCCCCUGGUCCCUUCCACCUCUACAACUGAUUCUAUGAUUCUUUGAACUUAGUGAGCUUUAUAGCCACACCAAACACUUAAAGAACGAUUAUACCACUUUAACAACUGUGGUUUAUUAACUACAGUUCCCAGGAUUCUUUGGGGGAAGUUAUGUCUGUUAAAGAGGCAUAAGAGUGCUUUAAAUGUAUUGUGUGGGUCUGAGUUAAGUAGAUAUGUAUAAGAUGUCACCACUAAUAUCAAAAUUAAGACCAGACAGUGACUGCCUCCUUAUAACCAACAAUGAAAUAAGCACAUGGAUUUAUUAUGUGGAUGCCAGCAAGCAUCUAGAAAUAAACUUAAAUAAACACCUGUGGAUAUCCUCCCCAUCUUCCCUCAGUGUAAGGAACCCCUCUUUCUUUUAUGUUGCGUUGCUACAAAAUUUGGGGUGUGGUUAUCUGUUCAGGGUAGUCCAGCAGUAAGCCAGGAUAAGUCCUUUCUCGUGAGAGAAGUUCAGUAACAGGUGAGAAAAUAUAAAAUUGGUCUUCCAUUUGUUCCAGCCAUAAAAGAAAAUUUUAGAAGUCAUGAUACGGUUUCUAAGGAGGCAAGAGGUAACUGAAAAGGGUAACUUUGGAUAAUAAUGAGGAGUUCCACUGAGUUCCACUCCCAUCUCCAGCUGCCUCCUCACCUCUCCAAAGCAUCUAUAGAAAGGGCAUUGUGGGGAGAAACUGGGAUAAACCAUCUCCUCUGCUUCUAGUGGAACAUCAUGGAACUUCCCAUGAACAAAUAAGGAACCAACCCACGGUCAUCACCCCGUUGUAAAAUCAGAA